UUUGUACUCCCUCCGUCCCAAAAUUCUUGUCUUAAAUUUGCUUAAAUACGGAUGUAUCUAGUUACAUUUUAGUGUUAGAUACAUCCAUAUCUAAACAAAUUUAAGACAAGAAUUUUGGGACGGAGGGAAUACUAC
Triticum urartu is the source of this 135-nucleotide non-coding RNA. The record is from Rfam. Lineage: Eukaryota; Viridiplantae; Streptophyta; Magnoliopsida; Poales; Poaceae.